GAUGAAGAACGCAGCGAAAUGCGAUAAGUAAUGUGAAUUGCAGAAUUCAGUGAAUCAUCGAAUCUUUGAACGCACAUUGCGCCCGCUAGUAUUCUGGCGGGCAUGCCUGUCCGAGCGUCAUUUCAACCCUCAAGCCCCCGGGCUUGGUGUUGGGGAUCGGCGAGCCUCCGCGCCCGCCGUCCCCUAAAUCUAGUGGCGGUCUCGCUGUAGCUUCCUCUGCGUAGUAGCACACCUCGCACUGGGAAACAGCGCGGCCACGCCGUUAAACCCCCAACUUCUGAACGUUUGACCUCGGAUCAGGUAGGAAUACCUGCUGAACUUAAGCAUAUCAAUAAGCGGAGGA
Molecule: unclassified non-coding RNA, 343 nt
Filed under: soil metagenome
Description: partial contains 5.8S ribosomal RNA, internal transcribed spacer 2, and large subunit ribosomal RNA
Rfam family: 5.8S ribosomal RNA (bases 1-120)
Source: RNAcentral